RNAcentral lists this ribosomal RNA (1100 nucleotides) under Alternaria sp. G378. Its description in RNAcentral is "eukaryotic LSU rRNA". The stretch from base 489 to 1100 matches the Rfam family "Eukaryotic large subunit ribosomal RNA", at positions 1 to 628 of the family's 3401-position model. The record is from RNAcentral. Lineage: Eukaryota; Fungi; Ascomycota; Dothideomycetes; Pleosporales; Pleosporaceae.
CAUUACACAAAUAUGAAGGCGGGCUGGAACCUCUCGGGGUUACAGCCUUGCUGAAUUAUUCACCCUUGUCUUUUGCGUACUUCUUGUUUCCUUGGUGGGUUCGCCCACCACUAGGACAAACAUAAACCUUUUGUAAUUGCAAUCAGCGUCAGUAACAAAUUAAUAAUUACAACUUUCAACAACGGAUCUCUUGGUUCUGGCAUCGAUGAAGAACGCAGCGAAAUGCGAUAAGUAGUGUGAAUUGCAGAAUUCAGUGAAUCAUCGAAUCUUUGAACGCACAUUGCGCCCUUUGGUAUUCCAAAGGGCAUGCCUGUUCGAGCGUCAUUUGUACCCUCAAGCUUUGCUUGGUGUUGGGCGUCUUGUCUCUAGCUUUGCUGGAGACUCGCCUUAAAGUAAUUGGCAGCCGGCCUACUGGUUUCGGAGCGCAGCACAAGUCGCACUCUCUAUCAGCAAAGGUCUAGCAUCCAUUAAGCCUUUUUUUCAACUUUUGACCUCGGAUCAGGUAGGGAUACCCGCUGAACUUAAGCAUAUCAAUAAGCGGAGGAAAAGAAACCAACAGGGAUUGCCCUAGUAACGGCGAGUGAAGCGGCAACAGCUCAAAUUUGAAAUCUGGCUCUUUUAGAGUCCGAGUUGUAAUUUGCAGAGGGCGCUUUGGCUUUGGCAGCGGUCCAAGUUCCUUGGAACAGGACGUCACAGAGGGUGAGAAUCCCGUACGUGGUCGCUGGCUAUUGCCGUGUAAAGCCCCUUCGACGAGUCGAGUUGUUUGGGAAUGCAGCUCUAAAUGGGAGGUACAUUUCUUCUAAAGCUAAAUAUUGGCCAGAGACCGAUAGCGCACAAGUAGAGUGAUCGAAAGAUGAAAAGCACUUUGGAAAGAGAGUCAAACAGCACGUGAAAUUGUUGAAAGGGAAGCGCUUGCAGCCAGACUUGCUUACAGUUGCUCAUCCGGGUUUCUACCCGGUGCACUCUUCUGUAGGCAGGCCAGCAUCAGUUUGGGCGGUAGGAUAAAGGUCUCUGUCACGUACCUCCUUUCGGGGAGGCCUUAUAGGGGAGACGACAUACUACCAGCCUGGACUGAGGUCCGCGCAUCUGCUAGGAUGCUG